This is a long non-coding RNA of Carassius gibelio (silver crucian carp), 4690 nucleotides long. RefSeq lists it as uncharacterized. The transcript is spliced from 3 exons. NCBI's taxonomy places the organism in Eukaryota, Metazoa, Chordata, Actinopteri, Cypriniformes, Cyprinidae. The record is from RefSeq and is a predicted model, not a curated record.
UGGUAAAAUUAUGACUGGAAGCUAGGAGAUCCAAUAACUUAAAUUUACUGGUGUGAAGAAGCAGCUGGCAGCACUUAGAAAACGAUAUUUCCGAGUUGAAAGGCCUGGCAAGGGGCCAAAUAAUAUUUGUUAACAUGAAAACAGCAGUAUUAGCUCAUCUCUCCAAAACAAUGUAAAGGAUGACCGUGCGCUUAAUAGCUGAUGGCAGAGAUGGGAAAGUAUGCUUCUAGAUCCAGAUAUGAAAAUCAGACAAAAAGAACUUAAAAAAUGACAGAAAAAGAAAUUAGAGCUUUAUAAAAAUACAGUUGUUUUCACAGAUGGCUCAAAAACGGCCACUGACGAGGAAGCUCACUGGGCUUUUGAUUCUGAAACAGAGCAACAAGGUCAUAGCUUCAAAUGAGGGAGUAGUGCAAGGCACAGGACAGUACGCAGAGCUCAUGGCAGUGUUCCAGGCUUUGAAAACACUGAAAAACUUGGAUAUUUACAGGCCAUAAUAGUGACGGAUUGCUGUUGCAACAGGAAUUACUGACAAUUUGCAAAUCUGGAAUGACAACGGUUACACCAAGUCAAAAGGUAAGCAAAUUGAACACGCAACAUUUUGGCAAGAGAUACAAAAAAUAAUAAGUGAUUUUGAUGUUACAGUGAUACAUCAGCCAGGAUAUUCCUAGGCAGACAAAGGAAAUAAUGAAGUUGAUAAAUUAGCGUGCAUGAGACGAAUAGUAGUGAUUAAAUAAACAGAAGGAAACGUAAUACAGAAAAUACAUGACCAAAUUAUGCACCCAAGUGUAAAUUUAGUUUGCAAAGUUUUGACAGAUUAUAAAAUACAUAUUUCUAACUUGAGACAGAAAUAGAGAAACGUAAGAUUAAAUUGUGAACAGUGCAUGCAUAAAGGCUAUAAUAAAACAAUACGAAGUGAUUUUGGAGGUUUUAUACCAGACAGAGUUAACCAGGAAUAAUCUUUGGACAUCGCUGGACCUUUGAUCCCGAGGUCUAAAGAUGGUAAUAAAUAUCUAUUGAUGGUAGUAGAUGGCUUUACGGGACGAAUUUUGGGAAAGCCUUUAAAAGAGACAAAAGCAAAUGCAAUUAUUAAAGAUGUCAAUAAAUUACUGGUAGCUUGGGGCCGGCCAGAAAAUAAUUAGGUGUGACAACGGCACAGAUUUUAUAGGAAAACAGUUUGAAGACUUUGUAACUGAAAAACAUAUAAGUUUAAUUAAAGCUAUAAGAUAUUGCCCAGAGUCAAAGGCAAUAGCUGAGAGACAUAUAGGGAUUCUAAAAAGCUGGAAACGGGCCAAUUGUAAUCAUGAUAGAUGGGAUGAAUAUAUGGAAGAUUUAAUGUUUUAUAUUAAUCUUACAGAGAUCAAAAGUCAAAAGACCAGUCAGAAGACUCUUGCUGAGUAGGAGACCACGUCUGGAUCAGGAAUGAUGAAAUUACAAGACUUAGACGAGAGAGAGAAAUGGGCCAGGAAAAUACAACGCUGGCGACAAGCCUGUAUACCACAACCUUGUUUGACGGUAUUAUUAGUAUAACAGGGGUUGUGAUUUUAACUGGAAUUUGGCCAAUAAUUGAUUUCACUACAAAAUUGAUUGUGGUUGAGGAGAUUACUGUUAAAGAAGUUUCCCACUUUACUAUAGUGUAAUUUUUUUUUUCAGGAUCAUGUGAGCUAAAAACAUUGGAAGAAUGUAGCCAAUGUGAGAAAAAAAAAAAAAAAAAAAAAAAAAUAUAUAUAUAUAUAUAUAUAUAUACAGUGGGGAAAGAUACAUUAGUGAAAUGUAGAAUAAGGUCAAUCCCAUGUAACAUUACACGGAUAAAGAGAAUUUGGAUUUGGCACCGCCUGCAGCAUAUGCUCUAUAUUGGACCUAGAGAGACAUUAGGGUGUUACACGAGCAACACUGAGGACAGUGUUAAGCCAAAUAAAGAAACCCAGAUUACUGCAACUAAAUAAAAAGAUAGAGGUUCCCAAUGUGUAAAAUAUGGGUUGUAUGAUCCUAAAAGUGCAUUCCAAAGAAACUGUGAAAAAUAUUAUAAUGACAAUAAAUAUACAAUGUGUGAAACUACAAAAAAUUAUGGGAUCCAUUUGCAUGGAUAUAUUGGUUUAUAUAUUGACAUAGGUUAAUAUUAAUAUAUUAAUAUAUUAUUAUACAUUAAUAUUGGUUAGGUGAAACUACUGAAUGAAUUAGUGUAUAUUCAAAAGGAUUGAGAACUCUUGUGGGAAAAUGUGCUUAAUGAAAAUGGAACUGAAAGGGAUCAAAUGAUAAUACAAUUCAUUUGUAUUAUUUAUUAUUUAUUUAUUUGGUGAUACAGGAACUAAUAUUAGAGCAUUACUGUGAAAAGCAUUAAAGCCCAAAAAUUUAGAUGAAAAACAGAGAAUCUCAUGAUGGGAUGAGUAUAAAAGAUAAAAAUAAAAAUAUUAAAUAUAAAAAUACCGGGCUAAGCACUUACUAUCCUUUUCCUGUAGUUUGGAUGAGAUUUCAGGUAAAGGAUAGCAGAUUAUUUUGUUCUAUUUCUAAGGAAAUCCCAGAAUACCAUAAUGUUAUGACUAUAUCAGCACCUAAUCACAAAAUGUAAAUUAAUAUUAGUGGCAUGCUAGAUGUCAAAAAGGUUUUGACCAUUGACAGAAGCUUAUGGACUGUUUAUUACUUUACAGGAAGACAAGGCUUAUUUAAAUAUGCCUUUAGAUAGUUAUUUUAGAAGAUUGGACAUUAAUUAAGGAAUUAAUGGUAUGUUGGCUUAAGAAGUCUAUUCGUAUGAGCCCAUAUAUAUGGAUAAUAGAGAGAAUCAUGCUAAAGAAGAUAAAGGGAAAUGAAUGACUCUGUACCCAUUGUAUUGGACAGUAGCUAGACCACAAUAUAUUAAAUUACAUGCAGGAUACAGACAAUGGAUAAUUUAUACUGUAUGUUAUUUUACUAGUAGGAGCUUUCAUUGGGAUUUUGAUUUUGUGAGAACUAAAGGGCCUUGGAGGACUGAUAAGAAGUUUAUUAAAAAUCUGUUAUUCUACAGUCGUUAAUAUUAUCUUGCAGGUGGUUGGGCUUAGUAGGAGUAGAGAUAAAGAGGACAAACAAGUGCUCAUUGAAAGAGGGAUUCAUCGAAAGACCUUGACCGAACGUAGCACUCUUUUGGUGCAUAAGGUCUGAGACUUUACUUCUGAAAUACAUGGCAUUUCAACAGAGUGCCACGAAGGGUGAACAGUUGAGUGAUAUACCAAGGAUAACUCUAAGAAUGAUUCUACCAGCAUUGCUAUUUUGUUAGGAAACGGUGACAACCUUUUGGAAAUUCUGGUAAACAACUGUCUUUGUAUUACAGUGAAUAUGAUAUUAUAAAAAUAAUAAUAUAAAUUAAAAUAAAAAAGGGGGGUUACAUACAUAUGUUUUUAAGUUUUUAUUUUCUAUAUUUAUUAUUUUUGAACUUCAUUUAAGUGGGUUAUUGGUUCUGAAAAUGUAUGCAUGAUUCAUUAUGGAAACCUAAUAUGAUAGGUAAAUGAGUAAAUUAAGAACAAAUACAAAGGACCAAAAUUUGAUUAAAAAAGAAAAAAAAAAUUCUUUUAAGGCUCAAAUAGGAAUUAAGGAGAGCCCCAAGUGGAGAAUUAUUGACAAGAAAAUUUAAUUACUGGAUUGUUAUUGGGCAAGAUAAUUGUAUGAGAUGCCGUCAAUUUCUGACUGAUUUAAGAGUGAACUUUGUAAUGGGGGAUUUAUGCUAGGAAUGUUUCUACAAGAAUACAUUCAUUAUGUGGAUUAAUGACUAUGAUGAUGCAGAAUAUAAUGUUGAAUCUUAUGAAUUGAUGACUGGAGUGCAGAUAUACAUUUUGGAAAACAAAAUGAAAUAGUGAAAAUAAAAAUUAACUUACAAUCUUUUUAAACUUAAAGACUGGUACAGAUUGGAGAUCUGGGGAUUAGAUUCUUGUGCACUGCUUGCAUAAUAAAUGUACAGCUGAAGUUGUAAAAGUGGUCAAAAUUGAUGAACUGCUUUUUAUUAUAGGCAGAGAAAUUUAUGGAAUUCCUGGAGAAGGAGGAUUUAACUCUGACUCAGCCCGCCUUAACGCCCCAAGGUGCUAAGAAUCAAACAAGCGGCUCGCACACCAGAAGGUAUGCCUGGAAUGCCAGAUCCCCUCUCUUGGCUUCUGAAGAGGAUUUCAGAGAGAGGGGAAGAGCCGUGCGUUUCUGAGUGAGGAGGCAUAAUAAUGCCAACCACACGCCAAACCACCAGUCACCCGCACCUUGGACCCCCUUUCUUUUGGUCCGUUCCACAAUCCAUUGCUAAUGACAUCUGUACUUGGAUGAAAUAGUGCAGCAAAACAGCGCUCCUUGAAAUGCAGGCAAACCCAUCAGUUGACCACAAUGUUACUGGGCACCUGGGGUUGACAACACUAACACCAAACAGGACGCAAGGAACCUGGAAGUACUUUUUGAUGACCAACGUUUCCAUCCACAUUUCAACAACGUGUGGAUUCUCAUUUUAAUGAAUCAGCAAAUUCAGGCCCAUGCAGCACAGCUCCUCAUCCAAGCCCUUCAACACUGAACUACUGCAAUGAUCUGCUGGCAGGCCUUACAGCCUCUGCAAAUGACCCAAAACAUGGCAGCAAGUCAAUGUGAUUUUGUAUCAAAUGAUUAUAUUAAUCAUCACAUUCAAAUGUGAAAUGUUAAUUUUCCUCUUUAGAGCAUGAAGAAAACAUUAAAACUUAACAUUAUUACAAAG